Molecule: long non-coding RNA, 2230 nt
Organism: Aethalodelphis obliquidens (Pacific white-sided dolphin)
Lineage: Eukaryota; Metazoa; Chordata; Mammalia; Artiodactyla; Delphinidae
Exons: 3
Source: RefSeq, a predicted model, not a curated record
CUACAUAAGUACUUCUGAUGGGCUUCAUCAGCCAGCUGACCUCUUGGGGUCAAACCAAGGAAGCAGAGCCUGCCCUGGGCCCUGAGAUGGUUCUUGAUACUAGAGCACAGAACGGCUUCCUGCUGUGUCUAAGAAAUACGGCUUAGCCAGGCUUCAGCUGGGCUGCAGUGUUAAAUGUCUUAGGUUUCAAGUUGGUACCAGCUGCACUGAAGGGAAAUGGUUGGGGAAAUUCUCCCAUUUGGCUUCUUUCCACAUGGAGGAUGGCUAAAGGAAGAGAGAGCUUAGAGCUGCUGUGCUGGUGCUGAUGCCUUAAAAAUAAUGAUAUAAACACAGCCACAGAGGUUGGCCUGUGGAGUCCCUGAUGGGGACCAGAGAAGAAAUGUUGUCCUGACUUACCCUUCAACCCAUGCUCUGCAAACAGAAGUGACCCAGCCCUCAUCUAUCACCUCUGAAGCUAAACAACUUCCCCAGAUGGCCCCAUGGAGCAUAAAUCAAGAGGGCCCUAGCUUCCAAGAAACCUGUACACAAUUGCAGCCCUCAGAAAUACUUGUUCUCAGAUUCUUUCUUCCUCUAUGUUCAGAAUACGGUGCUAGCAAGUCAUAAUCCCAGAUGAAUAUAGCAGAUCAUCUUAAGCAUGUCACUCAGUUUCUCUGAGCCUGGAUCCUCACCUUUAAACGGGGAUCAUGUCACGUCUGCCUCAUGGGUUUGAGGUGGAAAUUAAAUGAGAUAAUUCAAGGAGAGUGCUUAGUUCAGUGCCUUGAUGAAUGUUAGCUUCUAUAUCACCAUUAUUUCAUUAGCUGAAGCCCACUCUUAGGUACAAAGACAGAAAACGAACAAACAAAUAACAGCGAUUCUAAUUGUAAUCCCAAACACGAAGGGCUGUGGGCUACAGCCUCAAUGAUUUCAUAACACACAAAGCUUCUGUCUCCUGCUUACUCUCAUGCCAAAUCUGUGCCAGAUCUGGUUAUACGUGGUAACCUCAGUGGCCUCCAAGUUGUUUAAAUUCUCACAGAGAAUCCCAAUGGAUACUCAGACCUGCUGAAGCCGAGACAAAUUCAAACAUGCUGGGCUGGCAGUGAAAUGUAGGAUAAGAAAUCAUCACAAAGAAAGUCUGUUCACAUUCUAAAAGUGCCUGAAGAACCAUGGUUUGUACAGAGAGCCCUCCUCUCAGAUGGGCAGCUCACAGAUUCUUUCCUCUCGUACUUAUUCCACAAUACCACAUCACACCCCUAACAAACAUGUUUUGCUCCCAACUGAACAGGUAAAGACAUGACGGCAUUUCUGUUUUAAAGCUAUUGAAUGCCAAAGCCUUUGCUUCUGCUCACGUGUCCUAACCUUCCCUGCCUGGGAAUUGGAUCUGGGGUAAUGGGUGACCCAGCAGGCACAAAGAUGACAGAUUCCUGCAUCAUGUAGCAACGCCGGGACAACCUGGGGCAUCUGGCCUGGCUGGCAGGCGGGCAGGCUGGGAGGGGCAGCUCUUCCAGCCCUGACAAUGACUGCAACUCCUAUGCCUGAGAAGUCCUUAGAAGCCCAAGAAAGAAGAGGGCUGGGGCCCAGCUUAAUCACAAGGGUCCUGUGCCAGGAAGGCAGAGGGUCAGAGUUAGAGAGGAAUGUGACGAUGGAAAGAAAGCUUAGAGUGAUGCGCCUGGAAGACAGUCGAAGGACCACAAGCCAAGGAACGCAGGUGGCCUCCAGAAGCCGGAAAAGACAAGCAGCUGCAUUCUCCCCAAGAGUCUCCAGGAGGAACAUACCCUUGCCGACACCUUGAUUUUGGCCUCAUGAGACUUCUGACCUCCAGAAAGGUAUAAAGAAAGGAGAAUGGAAUGACUUGGUUUAACACUACACUAUUUUCAAAGAGUAGCAGACUCCUAAUGGGGUUGUCAUGUAAAAGUGGACGUAAAAAUUAAGCUGAUGUUGCCAGGUGCCUUCCCUAAGGGCCCAGAGUGGGCCCACAAUAUGGAUCCUGUGCCACGUGAGGCAGAGGGCAGAAAAUGGCAGCUGACAAAGGCAAAGUCAAUGACCCUCAGCGUCUGAGUGGAGGAAGGUGACAAAACAACACCAUGGGGGGCCAAAGAUGUCAAGACAAGAUGAAAGGAAGGACUGGUGGAACAUGGCACUUGGCAAGACUGGUAGUGCUUUUUAUUUACUUAUUUCAUUUCAUUUUAUUUUUUUGGCCACACCACGUGGCUUGUGGGAUCCUAGAUCCCCAACCAGGGAUCAAACCUGAGCC